AAAACAUUUCAUGAGAUUCAAAAAUCUGAUUUGCUUCCUCUUAUGUACUUUUUCACAUUUCUUUUUAUCCCUCCCCCAAUAUGUGAUAAUACACUGAUAUAUGAAGGACGUAUGCGUGUUUUAAAGGGCCAAGGAAAGAAGAUACUGAGCAAACUGCUGCUCUGGAAGUGGUCCCAAGUAAGAGGAGAAAUGACACAGGUGGCUCCUGCUUUGAAGAAGGGAAGAGAAAACAGAAUUCUGGGGGCAAGCUAAAAGGGAAACAACCGCGAGUGCAGUGGAUUGACUGAAAACUACCUGAUGUUCUGCAAUCCUGGAGGCUGUCCUGAGCGCUGAGUAGUCAUAUGCUGAAUGAUCGUCAGAACCUGCUGAACCCACUUCAAAGGAUAAACCAACAUCGAAGCAACAGCACUGGCUUGGAAACUGUGAGAUUCGACAUGAAUUCUCUGAUGGAAGAAAUCCAGUUGCAUUAUGUGAUAGCAACCAGAUCAUAUGGAAUGCCGAAAGAAGCAGAACUUGAUGAAAGAAGAAGAGGAAGAGAUGGAGGUGGAGCCCCUCUUCAUGGCUCACAGCCUUCCCCAAGAUAAGUCGGUAAUGAGACACGCAAAUUGCUGAUACCUUCGCCCUCACCAGUUCAACAAUUGUGGGAUUCUGAACUAUUAAUAAAAUGUAACAAAAUAUUCCA
RNAcentral lists this long non-coding RNA (682 nucleotides) under Bos indicus x Bos taurus (hybrid cattle). Its description in RNAcentral is "lncRNA (ENSBIXG00005031404.1)". Lineage: Eukaryota; Metazoa; Chordata; Mammalia; Artiodactyla; Bovidae. The record is from RNAcentral.